UCCCUGGUGGUCCAGUGGCUAAGACUCUGCACUCCCAAUGCAGGGAGCCCAGGUUCAAUCCCUGGUCAGGGAA
This 73-nucleotide transfer RNA is filed under the name Eschrichtius robustus (grey whale). It matches the Rfam family "tRNA". From Rfam's summary of the family: Transfer RNA (tRNA) molecules are approximately 80 nucleotides in length. Their secondary structure includes four short double-helical elements and three loops (D, anti-codon, and T loops). Further hydrogen bonds mediate the characteristic L-shaped molecular structure. tRNAs have two regions of fundamental functional importance: the anti-codon, which is responsible for specific mRNA codon recognition, and the 3' end, to which the tRNAs corresponding amino acid is attached (by aminoacyl-tRNA synthetases). tRNAs cope with the degeneracy of the genetic code in two manners: having more than one tRNA (with a specific anti-codon) for a particular amino acid; and 'wobble' base-pairing, i.e. permitting non-standard base-pairing at the 3rd anti-codon position. Lineage: Eukaryota; Metazoa; Chordata; Mammalia; Artiodactyla; Eschrichtiidae. The record is from Rfam by way of RNAcentral.